UUAAGACCCAUUAACAAAGAUUGCAAUUCAUCUUUGCAAUCAUCUUAUAUAUACGGAUUGCAAUGAAAGAAACUCGUCUUUUUUCCAGCAUAUGUAAUUGCUGCAACACAAGCAAACAACAAGAAGCAAAUACACACACACACACACAUAUAUAUAUAGCUAAUUCCCAUAGAUCAACCAUCUUAUUAUACGACAUAUACACACACAAGAUACAUUAGUUGAUGCCAUAUCCUUGCUUGGCAACAUAUUUGACAAGCUCAUCCAGUUCAUCCAAACUGAUGGUUCCGUCUCCGUUGCCAUCGGCAUGGUGCAAAGACCGACGAACUCGCCAACUUGGGUUCCGGGAACCGAGUUCACGGAAAGCUUUCAUCAAUUCGUCCUUACUUAGACAACCAUCACCAUUGACAUCGUGUUUUCUGAAGACAGCCUUCAAUUGCUCUUCAUUGAGGCUAAGGUUUAUGGAUUUUGGCACAUAAAGAGGCAUGUUGGCAAAGGGGGACAACUUAAAGGGUUUAGAACUACUUGAAUUUGCUACGUGAUCAAAAUAUGUUACUAGAGGCAUGAAUUUAUAUAGAAAUUUCUUGACCAUAGUUCACCACUUUUUCCUAUGUUUUAUUCUUAAUUUCUCUCCUCUCUUUUUUUAUGGACCCUUUUUAUUCUUAUUCUCUUCCUUUUGUAACUGUUUAUUAUAGGGGAUCAUGCAUAUAUAUAUAUAUAUAUUACUCCAAUAUAACAUACUAAUCUUACUAAUAUAAUUGUGCGAAUUUUUCAGUGUUGUUAAAAUUUUUGUUUUCUUUUAACGAAUUGUUGACGUGGUACAUUUGCUCAUUAAGCAACUGUCAUGUGACAUUCUUUUUGUUGACUUUUGACUAAAGUUUAAGGAAAAAAAUUUUGGACUAACUAUAAGGAGGUCCCUAAAUUUUAGUCAAAAGUCAACAAAAAUGUCAUGUGUUAAUUACUCAAUGUGCCAUGUCAGCAAUCCGUUAAAAGAAAACAAAAGUUUUAACGACAGUGACUAAUUUACACAACUAUCUUAUUUAGAGCAAUAAAUUAAAAAAAAUUGAAGUAACCAAAAUAAGAUAAACUCUAUUUUAGAAUAAUUAAUUUACUCUAAUUUUAUUCUUACAUACCAGGAUAUAUAUAUAAUUUUUGGGUAGGGGCAGAAAUAGAUAUUUCUAGACUUUGAAGGUUAUUAUUAUUAUGGCUUCACGUUUUUAAUAGUACUUAGAUGUGUUAAUGAGUUAGAUUGGAUCAGAUUGUGGCUUGAUUUUAAAAUAAAAUUAUUCAGACUCAAGUCCAAGCCUGGCCCUCCCAAGUUUGCACAAAGGUUGCUUUUACUAUUUAAAAUAUAAAACAAUAUUUAUUUAAAUUAAUCUAAUUGUCAAAAAUAUAGAUAUUAAAGUCGACUUAAUUGUGAAAUUUAGAGGUAAAAAAUUAUAUUAUCCUUAGCUUAUAAUUUAUCCUGAUUUUUGCAAGAAAAUAAAUUUUAAAUUAAGUUGGAUUUUCAUUUUUUUAAAAAGAAAUUUGUUAACAUAUUUAUUUAACGUUAAUAUGUUACAUCACAUGAGGGUAGCCUAAUCAACAUCUCAAAUUCACAAAUUUUGACAAAAAAAGUUCUUAUGAUUUUAAUGAUUGAAUUGAGAUUUUUAAAUAAAAAAGUAGGACUUAAUUUUUAACUUUUUAAGUACAACGAUUUAAUCUCAAAUUUUAUCAAAAUACAAGGAUUAAUUAACAUAAUACCUUAACAAAAAAAAUCAAAAUUCUAACUAAACUUGGUUUAUUCAUUCAAUCAUGUUCAAAAUAUUUGUCCAAGCAAUCAUUUUAUUUUAUUAAUUAUAACCAUAGAUGUUCUCAUCUAUUUUAUGGUUUGAGUUUAAUCUUGUUCAGUCUGGAAGUGGUAUUCAAGUAAAGUCCUUCUAACAUUGAUGAUUCUAAUUUAUAAUAUUUGAUCUUAAUCCAAAUACUCGAGAAAGAAGCUCGCUGUCACUCUUUCCAACUACUUGUUGAUUCAAGCAAUCAUUUUAAAGUUUAAAAUAAGAGUUUAAGGAAAAAAAAAGAAAGGAAAUAAAUAAUGAAAGGAGACAAGUUAAGACCCAUCAACAAAGAUUGAAAUUCAUCAUUGCAAUCAUCUUAUAUAUACGGAUUGCAAUGAAAGAAACUUGUCUUUUUUCCAGCAUAUGUAAUUGCUGCAACACAAGCAAUCAACAAGAAGCAAAUACACACACACACAUAUAUAUAUAGCUAAUUCCCAUAGAUCAACCAUCUUAUUAUACGACAUAUACACGCACAAGAUACAUUAGUUGAUGCCAUAUCCUUGCUUGGCAACAUAUUUGACAAGCUCAUCCAGUUCAUCUAAACUGAUGGUUCCGUUCCCAUCGCCAUCGGCAUGGUGCAAAGAACGACGAACUCGCC
RNAcentral lists this long non-coding RNA (2412 nucleotides) under Gossypium barbadense (sea-island cotton). RNAcentral describes it as "long non-coding RNA (GBAR_LNC016829)". Lineage: Eukaryota; Viridiplantae; Streptophyta; Magnoliopsida; Malvales; Malvaceae. The record is from RNAcentral.